UCAACAUAUCGUAACCCGUUGUACAUUGA
Molecule: small RNA, 29 nt
Filed under: Bombyx mori (domestic silkworm)
Lineage: Eukaryota; Metazoa; Arthropoda; Insecta; Lepidoptera; Bombycidae
Description: ovarian small RNA-24584
Source: RNAcentral